UGAGGAUAGAUUAGAUUAGAAAAGGAUAAUAGUUCAAACACCCUUAAUAUUCUAUUCAUUUUUUGUUUUUAUAUAUAAAAAUGGGAAUAAAAAAGAGAAAAACAAAAGUCACGUAGAAAAUUAGAAAGGGGAACUGGAAUUAGACACUUGAGUAGGAACCUUUUUUACGAUAAACGUUUCCAUAUCUCACGGACGGGAUUUUUCUUUUUUUUUCCCAAAAAAGGUUCCAUCUCAUGGACAAACACGGACGCAGUUUUUUUUUCAUAGAGUUUGACUUGGAGAAAUCUGAUUUGGGAUAGGAUUCUUUUCUUUCUUUUUGUCUCGCGUCUGAUCUCCAUCCUUUGUCAACUCCAACCGUUUGCUAGAAUUUUUUGCCAAAACCACAAAAAAUAGCUAGAGCAUCUCCAACAACUUGGUAAAAUUCACUUGUCAAAUCUUGAGUUAUAGCAAGUUGCUAAUUUGUUUAGCAAAAGAAAAAAGGAUGUGUCUCCAAUAAAUUGCUAUUCUCACUUGGUAAAAAUAGAGGAUGACAGAUGGGACCCGCUCACUUGGUAAAAGAAUAUGUGUCUCCAACAAGUUGCGCUCGGGAUAGCAACUUGGGAUAGCAACUUGACAAAUCUCGACAGUAGAAACCUCUGGAUAGCAACUUGGGAAAUUUAGCAAGUUGAGAUAAGGAGUUGUUGGAAGAGGAUUUUUAUGCUUUUAGCAAAUUUGGUAGGAUAGCAUGUUGAAAUACUUAAGAGCAACUCAAACUCACUUGACAAAUCGAUAGUUUUGCCAAGUCUCAAAACCAAAUGACAAGUGAAAAAAUAGACCUUCUCCAACAGUU
This 829-nucleotide long non-coding RNA is filed under the name Sorghum bicolor (sorghum). RNAcentral's name for it is "long non-coding RNA (SBIC_LNC003682)". Lineage: Eukaryota; Viridiplantae; Streptophyta; Magnoliopsida; Poales; Poaceae. The record is from RNAcentral.